RNAcentral lists this ribosomal RNA (1372 nucleotides) under uncultured bacterium. RNAcentral describes it as "bacterial SSU rRNA". It matches the Rfam family "Bacterial small subunit ribosomal RNA", at positions 28 to 1381 of the family's 1533-position model. The record is from RNAcentral.
GAUGAACGCUGGCGGCGUGCCUAAUACAUGCAAGUCGAGCGAACGGACGAGAAGCUUGCUUCUCUGAUGUUAGCGGCGGACGGGUGAGUAACACGUGGAUAACCUACCUAUAAGACUGGGAUAACUUCGGGAAACCGGAGCUAAUACCGGAUAAUAUUUUGAACCGCAUGGUUCAAAAGUGAAAGACGGUCUUGCUGUCACUUAUAGAUGGAUCCGCGCUGCAUUAGCUAGUUGGUAAGGUAACGGCUUACCAAGGCAACGAUGCAUAGCCGACCUGAGAGGGUGAUCGGCCACACUGGAACUGAGACACGGUCCAGACUCCUACGGGAGGCAGCAGUAGGGAAUCUUCCGCAAUGGGCGAAAGCCUGACGGAGCAACGCCGCGUGAGUGAUGAAGGUCUUCGGAUCGUAAAACUCUGUUAUUAGGGAAGAACAUAUGUGUAAGUAACUGUGCACAUCUUGACGGUACCUAAUCAGAAAGCCACGGCUAACUACGUGCCAGCAGCCGCGGUAAUACGUAGGUGGCAAGCGUUAUCCGGAAUUAUUGGGCGUAAAGCGCGCGUAGGCGGUUUUUUAAGUCUGAUGUGAAAGCCCACGGCUCAACCGUGGAGGGUCAUUGGAAACUGGAAAACUUGAGUGCAGAAGAGGAAAGUGGAAUUCCAUGUGUAGCGGUGAAAUGCGCAGAGAUAUGGAGGAACACCAGUGGCGAAGGCGACUUUCUGGUCUGUAACUGACGCUGAUGUGCGAAAGCGUGGGGAUCAAACAGGAUUAGAUACCCUGGUAGUCCACGCCGUAAACGAUGAGUGCUAAGUGUUAGGGGGUUUCCGCCCCUUAGUGCUGCAGCUAACGCAUUAAGCACUCCGCCUGGGGAGUACGACCGCAAGGUUGAAACUCAAAGGAAUUGACGGGGACCCGCACAAGCGGUGGAGCAUGUGGUUUAAUUCGAAGCAACGCGAAGAACCUUACCAAAUCUUGACAUCCUUUGACAACUCUAGAGAUAGAGCUUUCCCCUUCGGGGGACAAAGUGACAGGUGGUGCAUGGUUGUCGUCAGCUCGUGUCGUGAGAUGUUGGGUUAAGUCCCGCAACGAGCGCAACCCUUAAGCUUAGUUGCCAUCAUUAAGUUGGGCACUCUAAGUUGACUGCCGGUGACAAACCGGAGGAAGGUGGGGAUGACGUCAAAUCAUCAUGCCCCUUAUGAUUUGGGCUACACACGUGCUACAAUGGACAAUACAAAGGGCAGCGAAACCGUGAGGUCAAGCAAAUCCCAUAAGGUUGUUCUCAGUUCGGAUUGUAGUCUGCAACUCGACUACAUGAAGCUGGAAUCGCUAGUAAUCGUAGAUCAGCAUGCUACGGUGAAUACGUUCCCGGGUCU